GGCUUUAUACUUUAAAUAGAAGAUUUGAUUUGCAAUCAAAAAGUGGGUAUCCUGAAGCCUC
Molecule: transfer RNA, 61 nt
Filed under: Hermissenda emurai
Lineage: Eukaryota; Metazoa; Mollusca; Gastropoda; Nudibranchia; Glaucidae
Description: tRNA-Ala
Source: RNAcentral